This 161-nucleotide small RNA is filed under the name human gut metagenome. RNAcentral's name for it is "Ribosomal protein L10 leader". It matches the Rfam family "Ribosomal protein L10 leader", at positions 13 to 134 of the family's 138-position model. From Rfam's summary of the family: This family is a putative r-protein leader autoregulatory structure found in B. subtilis and other low-GC Gram-positive bacteria. It is located in the 5' untranslated regions of mRNAs encoding ribosomal proteins L10 and L12 (rplJ-rplL). A Rho-independent transcription terminator structure that is probably involved in regulation is included at the 3' end. The record is from RNAcentral.
CUUGUCUAACUGCCGAAGACAGCAGGUGCCGUAAGGCAUAAGGAGUAAACGCCUGCCGAGGAAAAAGUAUUCUAAAACCCGGAAAGCUUACAGGGCUUUUGGGGAAAUAUAGAAAAGGCUUUUGAACCUCUCUGUCUGCGGAUAGAGAGGUUUUCUUUUGG